RNAcentral lists this long non-coding RNA (330 nucleotides) under Setaria viridis. RNAcentral's name for it is "long non-coding RNA (SVIR_LNC005626)". The record is from RNAcentral. Lineage: Eukaryota; Viridiplantae; Streptophyta; Magnoliopsida; Poales; Poaceae.
UUGUUUAUUGCUCUCUCUUUAAAAUGGAUCAAAGGCUCUUUUAUUUUUUGGUUACAACUCAUGCUAACCUUGUCAAUAAUACUUUUUUCAAUUGCUCUACCAAUCCAAAGCCAAAUAUUUAUGAGCUGUAGAUUGCAAAAUUUGUUUUUGGGUGAAUUGAUUCAGGAUCUACUUUUGUGGUAUGAGACUUAGAAGCUGGUCAUUCCUUUUUGUGUAACCUCUUGUUGCUAGCCUUUCUGUCCAUGCAUUGUGGAUUUUUGCACUGGAAAUUUUGCAAGCUUCGCUGGGCAUCCAAACCUAAACCCAAAUAUCAUUUUUGUGACGACCUUC